Molecule: ribosomal RNA, 554 nt
Filed under: uncultured marine eukaryote
Lineage: Eukaryota
Description: SSU rRNA
Rfam family: Eukaryotic small subunit ribosomal RNA
Source: RNAcentral
UUGCGGUUGAAAAGCUCGUAGUUGGAUCUCGGCAAGUAGAGGGCGGUAUGCUUCGUAGCAUUACUGCCCUAUUACUUGUAGUUUUGCCAGAGGUUCCUGGGUGCUCUUAAUCGAGUGUCUAGGGAUGCUGGCAGGUUUACUUUGAAAAAAUUAGAGUGCUCAAAGCAGGCUAUUACGCUUGAAUAUUCGUGCAUGGAAUAAUAGAAUAGGAAGUUGUUUCUAUUUUGUUGGUUUUCGGAAAUCGACUUAAUGAUUAAUAGGGACAGUCGGGGGCAUUUGUAUUCAAACGACAGAGGUGAAAUUCUUGGACCGUUUGAAGACAAACUACUGCGAAAGCAUUUGCCAAGAAUGUUUUCAUUAAUCAAGAACGAAAGUUAGAGGUUCGAAGGCGAUUAGAUACCGCCCUAGUUCUAACCAUAAACGAUGCCAGCUAGCGAUCUGAGGACGUUUUUUUUGUAGACUCCUCAGGAAGCUUCCGGGAAACCAAAGCGUGUGGGUUCCGGGGGAAGUAUGGUUGCAAAGCUGAAACUUAAAGGAAUUGACGGAAAGGCACC